AAGAGUUUGAUGGUGGCUCAUAUUGAACGCUGGCGGCAUGCCUUACACAUGCAAGUCGAACGGCAGCACGGGUGCUUGCACCUGGUGGCGAGUGGCGAACGGGUGAGUAAUACAUCGGAACAUGUCCUGUAGUGGGGGAUAGCCCGGCGAAAGCCGGAUUAAUACCGCAUACGAUCUACGGAUGAAAGCGGGGGACCUUCGGGCCUCGCGCUAUAGGGUUGGCCGAUGGCUGAUUAGCUAGUUGGUGGGGUAAAGGCCUACCAAGGCGACGAUCAGUAGCUGGUCUGAGAGGACGACCAGCCACACUGGGACUGAGACACGGCCCAGACUCCUACGGGAGGCAGCAGUGGGGAAUUUUGGACAAUGGGCGAAAGCCUGAUCCAGCAAUGCCGCGUGUGUGAAGAAGGCCUUCGGGUUGUAAAGCACUUUUGUCCGGAAAGAAAUCCUUGGCUCUAAUACAGUCGGGGGAUGACGGUACCGGAAGAAUAAGCACCGGCUAACUACGUGCCAGCAGCCGCGGUAAUACGUAGGGUGCGAGCGUUAAUCGGAAUUACUGGGCGUAAAGCGUGCGCAGGCGGUUUGCUAAGACCGAUGUGAAAUCCCCGGGCUCAACCUGGGAACUGCAUUGGUGACUGGCAGGCUAGAGUAUGGUAGAGGGGGGUAGAAUUCCACGUGUAGCAGUGAAAUGCGUAGAGAUGUGGAGGAAUACCGAUGGCGAAUGCAGCCCCCUGGGCCAAUACUGACGCUCAUGCACGAAUGCGUGGGGAACAAACAGGAUUAGAUACCCUGGUAGUUCCACGCCCUAAACGAUGUCCACUAGUUGUUGGGGAUUCAUUUCCUUAGUAACGUAGCUAACGCGUGAAGUUGACCGCCCUGGGGAGUACGGUCGCAAGAUUAAAACUCAAAGGAAUUGACGGGGACCCGCACAAGCGGUGGAUGAUGUGGAUUAAUUCGAUGCAACGCGAAAAACCUUACCUACCCUUGACAUGGUCGGAAUCCUGCUGAGAGGUGGGAGUGCUCGAAAGGGAACCGGCGCACAGGUGCUGCAUGGCUGUCGUCAGCUCGUGUCGUGAGAUGUUGGGUUAAGUCCCGCAACGAGCGCAACCCUUGUCCUUAGUUGCUACGCAAGAGCACUCUAAGGAGACUGCCGGUGACAAACCGGAGGAAGGUGGGGAUGACGUCAAGUCCUCAUGGCCCUUAUGGGUAGGGCUUCACACGUCAUACAAUGGUCGGAACAGAGGGUUGCCAACCCGCGAGGGGGAGCUAAUCCCAGAAAACCGAUCGUAGUCCGGAUUGCACUCUGCAACUCGAGUGCAUGAAGCUGGAAUCGCUAGUAAUCGCGGAUCAGCAUGCCGCGGUGAAUACGUUCCCGGGUCUUGUACACACCGCCCGUCACACCAUGGGAGUGGGUUUUACCAGAAGUGGCUAGUUUAACCGCAAGGAGGACGGUCACCACGGUAGGAUUCAUGACUGGGGUGAAGUCGUAACAAGGUA
This 1494-nucleotide ribosomal RNA is filed under the name uncultured beta proteobacterium. Its description in RNAcentral is "16S ribosomal RNA". It matches the Rfam family "Bacterial small subunit ribosomal RNA". The record is from RNAcentral. Lineage: Bacteria; Pseudomonadati; Pseudomonadota; Betaproteobacteria.